AUGGGCGGGAGCCUGAUCCAGCCAUGCCGCGUGCAGGAUGACGGCCCUAUGGGUUGUAAACAGCUUUUAUACGGGAAGAAAUGCGCCCACGUGUGGGCGUCUGACGGUACCGUAAGAAUAAGGACCGGCUAACUCCGUGCCAGCAGCCGCGGUAAUACGGAGGGUCCGAGCGUUAUCCGGAAUCAUUGGGUUUAAAGGGUCCGUAGGCGGGCCUGUAAGUCAGGGGUGAAAGUUUGUGGCUCAACCAUAAAAUUGCCUUUGAUACUGCAGGUCUUGAGUCAUGGUGGGGUCGCCGGAACAUGUGGUGUAGCGGUGAAAUGCAUAGAUAUCACAUAGAACACCGAUCGCGAAGGCAGGUGGCCAACCAUGUACUGACGCUGAUGGACGAAAGCGUGGGUAGCGAACGGGAUUAGAUACCCCGGUAGUCCACGCCGUAAACGAUGGAUACUAGCUGUGGGGACUUCGGUCUCCGUGGCCAAGCGAAAGUGAUAAGUAUCCCACCUGGGGAGUACGUUCGCAAGAAUGAAACUCAAAGGAAUUGACGGGGGCCCGCACAAGCGGUGGAGCAUGUGGUUUAAUUCGAUGAUACGCGAGGAACCUUACCAGGGCUUAAAUGCAGGCUGCAUGGGGUAGAGAUACCCCUUUCUUCGGACCGCCUGCAAGGUGCUGCAUGGUUGUCGUCAGCUCGUGCCGUGAGGUGUCAGGUUAAGUCCUAUAACGAGCGCAACCCCUACCGUUAGUUGCCAGCAUGUCAAGAUGGGGACUCUAACGGGACUGCCGGUGCAAACCGUGAGGAAGGUGGGGACGACGUCAAAUCAUCACGGCCCUUACGUCCUGGGCUACACACGUGCUACAAUGGCCGGUACAGAGGGAAGCCACCCCGCAAGGGGGCGCGGAUCUACAAAACCGGUCACAGUUCGGAUCGGGGUCUGCAACUCGACCCCGUGAAGCUGGAAUCGCUAGUAAUCGGAUAUCAGCCAUGAUCCGGUGAAUACGUUCCCGGGCCUUGUACACACCGCCCGUCAAGCCAUGGAAGCCGGGAGUGCCUGAAGUCCGUCACCGCAAGGAGCGGCCUAGGGCAAAAUCGGUAACUAGGGCUAAGUCGUAACAAGGUAGCCGUACCGGAAGGUGCGGCUGGAACACCUCCUUUCU
This 1152-nucleotide ribosomal RNA is filed under the name uncultured Flavobacteriaceae bacterium. RNAcentral's name for it is "bacterial SSU rRNA". It matches the Rfam family "Bacterial small subunit ribosomal RNA", at positions 371 to 1533 of the family's 1533-position model. Lineage: Bacteria; Pseudomonadati; Bacteroidota; Flavobacteriia; Flavobacteriales; Flavobacteriaceae. The record is from RNAcentral.